AAUAUAGUGUCGCAAAAUCGACUUUGACAGUAUAUCACUUCUAAAUUAUCAAGUUAAUUAGUGAAAUGGGAACGAUGAAAUAACAACACAAUGAUAAAACAAAAAUAUUCAUAGAUCACACACUAAAAACUGAUCCAAAAUAGAUGCCACAUGAUAUCGUUUCAUAUAGCAGAGUGUGUCAAACUAGAUCCGAAGAUCAACGUAAAUCAAUAGCUGAACCCUAGUUGUCUGCAUCGUAUAAUGCCAUUGAAUGACAUCGCGUAUGGUUCAGCUACCGAUGUACGACGACACCACACACACACACACACACGCGCGCGCGCGCGCGAGCGCGCACAGAGACAACUAAUAGUUCCAGAGGUGGUUGCACCCCAAUUUUAUGAUUUAUCACAUUUUACAGAAUUAUAAUACUUCAUAUGUUCAUUACGCUUACAUCUUAUACAAUGUAUCUCGUAACUGAAGAUACAACCGAAGAGAAGAUGAUAUUAUAUGAGAAGAUAAAUUGAGAACAUGCAACAAGGUUUUUCCACUCAGAGGUAUGUUUUUAAGAAAAUUAACUUCAAAUAUUUGAUUGAUAAGUGUAUAUCAAUGUGGACUUUAUCUCGUAUCUAACCUUCACUCUCACUUCGAAAUCGUAUGUUUCAUUCACAAAAGUGAAGGCAUGAUUUAACAUUUUACAAGAGUAAGAACUUCCGAAAUUACUCUAACCACGCAGAGAAACUAACUCUCUCUUGCGAUAAAUUCAAAACAUAGCGAUAUAUAAGUGUGUACAUGUAUCUGCAUUUUGUAGAUAUACUAUCAUUUCACCGUUCCCAUUUCGCGCAUUAUUCUGAUAAAGGAAACGAAUUUUUGCGUCUAUAUAUUAUACAAUUAUAAGAAAUAUUUAUAUGCCAUUCGUUAAAUUUGGACAAUCAACACAUCACUGAAUGAUACGCAAUGAUGAAAAUACAUAUAGGAUAAAUGGAUACCGGUCUUUAAUGACGGCUCAGCUUAAUUUGCAUGCGGAUAUACAGCAUACAAUAACGAUUGGGUAGAAAUAGGAGUAAGAACAUGAUUCGUGAUAUUUUUCGUGCAAUUGAUUUGUCAAACGUCAAUAAAGCUUUAUUGAGUACAGAAUCCAUGACAAAGAAAAAUGUAGGUACCUCCACUUCUAAUAUAUGCAUGUAUAUGUUUUAUAUAUACAUUUAUACAUUUAUACAUAAGAUCUCGUUCGAAUGGAAUAUUCAAACUAGUAAAAGUUACAAUAGGGUAUUCUAUGGUUUUCAUUUGCUUGAAAAAUGAAACAACAACUGUUCUCAAUAAUUAUCUUACAAUAAUUUAUAUAUGUC
Molecule: long non-coding RNA, 1325 nt
Organism: Bombus huntii
Lineage: Eukaryota; Metazoa; Arthropoda; Insecta; Hymenoptera; Apidae
Exons: 3
Source: RefSeq, a predicted model, not a curated record